UUUAAGACUAAGAAAACGAAAGUAAUGAGAUUGAAAGACGGAUAGGUAUUAUAGAGCAAAUCAGUUAUAAAUUUAUAACGGAAAACUAGGACUACCCAGUCGAAAAUGAAUAUCAAAAAUUAUGGUAGAAACGUCGAUUUUACAACAAUUUUCGUGUUAAACAACAACUUUUACUUAGAAAAACUCUAGAAAGAGAUCUGCGGAGACUCCAUUUUGGAUCGAUUGGAUUCGCGUUUAGCUGUCAAAAAACGAAUCCAAUCGAACAUUGCCUAUCCUUAUAACAUUGGACGUGUUGCCAUACAAUGCCGGGGCAUUCGUUGCCAAAAAUGCUGUUUUUCUCUCCGCAGUUCUCUUACUAGAGUUUUUCUACUUUUACUGUAAUAUCAAUGUACAUGAUUUAGCGCGUCAUAAAUUUAUCCAAAAAUAGUAUUCUUUAUUUUUUCGUACAUUGAAUUUGUUGUCAUAUAUUAUUCGCGUAUUUUCAGUGUGGUCACUCUUUUGUCCAGUUUGGCAAAUAUUUUCGGGUUUAUAAUACUCAGAGCAACGGAUGUUACGAUUUCCUGUCCAAUGAUCACCCAGAAUCAGGAUAUGUGUGCAUGGUUUCUGUUGCACAGGUUAGGAUUAUACCUUUGGGUUGUCUUUAAUACUGAAUUGCGAGGUUCGUUAAUGGAAUCAAGAUGCAGCAUAAAUUAGCUCAACGAAACCGAUGCAAAAAAAUAUUUCAGUCGUGCUGGAUAUUGCCAGCGGAACAUAUACAGUUUGUAUGAUAUGCGAAAGCUUGCUACAAGAUGCACCUUGAGACGCAUUCCUGUUUCCUAUUCCAAAAAAUUGUCCUCAUAAGUUAACGAAGUUCAAAAUUCCUACGUCAUAUGUUUGCAACUAGUAGGAAUUAUUGCAACUUUUGAGGAAUCGUAGUUGGACAAAAAGCCUCCGAUAUUUACAAUGAAAUAGUAUGUUGAAACAAUACUUAUCAUUAUGUUUUCUUUGUCAUU
This is a long non-coding RNA of Topomyia yanbarensis, 992 nucleotides long. RefSeq lists it as uncharacterized. The record is from RefSeq and is a predicted model, not a curated record. The transcript is spliced from 3 exons. Lineage: Eukaryota; Metazoa; Arthropoda; Insecta; Diptera; Culicidae.